This 516-nucleotide ribosomal RNA is filed under the name uncultured bacterium. RNAcentral's name for it is "partial 16S ribosomal RNA". It matches the Rfam family "Bacterial small subunit ribosomal RNA", at positions 29 to 523 of the family's 1533-position model. The record is from RNAcentral.
AACGAACGCUGGCGGCGUGCUUAACACAUGCAAGUCGAACGUGAUCCGGGCUUCGGCCUGGUGAAAGUGGCGCACGGGUGAGUAACACGUGGAUAAUCUACCCGAUGAUCCGGGAUAACACUUCGAAAGGGGUGCUAAUACCGGGUAAGCCCACGGACUCUUCGGAGUUUGCGGGAAAAGGUGGGGACCUUCGGGCCUACUGUCAUCGGAUGAGUCCGCGGCCCAUUAGCUAGUUGGUAGGGUAACGGCCUACCAAGGGGACGAUGGGUAGCUGGUCUUGGAGGAUGAUCCGCCACACUGGAACGGAGACACGGUCCAGACUCCUACGGGAGGGAGCAGUGGGGAAUUUUGCGGAAUGGGCGAAAGCCUGACGCAGCAACGCCGCGGGAGUGAUGAAGGCCUUCGGGUCGUAAAGCUCUGUCAGAGGGGAAGAACCACCUGAAGGUUAAUAUCCUUCAGGCCUGACGGUACCCUCAAAGGAAGCACCGGCUAACUCCGUGCCAGCCGCCGCAGUAA